AGUAAUUUAGGUUAUUUUGACUGUUUGUUUUCAAAACAAAAGGUGGCUUUUGUGGCUGGUUGCUG
This 65-nucleotide transfer RNA is filed under the name Fasciolopsis buskii. RNAcentral describes it as "Fasciolopsis buski tRNA-Trp". Lineage: Eukaryota; Metazoa; Platyhelminthes; Trematoda; Plagiorchiida; Fasciolidae. The record is from RNAcentral.